UGAUUCUUAAGUGGAAAAGGCAAGGUGAAGAUUAAUAGUAAGUAAACGUUGCUAGUCAGUAAUCUUUAAGGAUUUUUCGGUUGCGUGUUGGUUUCCUAUAUCUGCUGCCUUCUGCUGUCAUAUUUAAAGCCAUUGCUUUCUUUACUGCUCACAUCUCUUUUACGUGUUUUAAAAUAUUUGUUUACUUUAGGAGUUUUGUAAUAGGCUACCAUGUAAACUAAGUUUGGAGAUUAUAUAACAGAUGGACUCUUUAUUUUAAGAAUAUAUUUCUAAACUUGGGUCGUAAAUCGUUUUCACAGCAGUAGUCUAAUUAGCAAAGGCCACUGGAAUAGGUAAGCAGCUGUAAAAACAGUAUGCUACAUAAAAUUCUAAAAAAAAAUUUUAUGUGAAACAAAAAUAACUGUUUCAUUUUUUUAAGAAUAUUCAGUUCUUCUAUUUUCAACGGCUUUUGAAUGGAAGACAAUUACAAAGCUAAAAAAAUGUUUGAUAAAUUAAAAAAAAAAUAAUAAAAAAUUCUCUCUUGAGAAAAUUUUAAAAUUUCCAAGUUUCCGUAGCAUCUGUAACUAGUUAAGUACCUAAAUGAUGAAAAUAAACGAAAUGUAUGAAAAUAUCCUACUCGAAAGAUUAAUUAGCUGUGCUGAAAGUAACAGGAAUUUAGCAAUGUCAUAUGCGAAAAGUACGAAUAAAAGUACAAGAAUAAAGCAAAAUCUCUAAACCUUAAUUCUCACAAACACUAACAAACGUCAGGUAUACUGCAUGGAAUGUUACAUCCUUAUCAUUGUUUCCUGCACAUUGUUGCAGGCACAGUUGUUAAACAGAGCUCAAAGACUUGCAUUAUGUUGUUGUUGAUAGUUUCUAGACAAUUUUCAUGGAAGCAAGCACUCAGCUGGCCUUCCAGGUGCUGAUUUUCUUCGAAUGCUUCUAAUAUAGAUUCCUUUGUAAAUAACUGUUUACUUUCCUUUAUUUUCAUUUUACCAAUUCACAGUUUCUGAUUUCCUUUUCAUGCUUUCCUGCUACUUUGACCUCCUUAAUUAGUAAUCCUUUGUUCAAGCUAAUCUUUCGCCAUUGUCAUUGAUCAUCUAAGUGAUCUUUUGUUACAUUGCAUCGCUUUUCUUUUGUGUUUUCGUACUUCGUUAGGAUAUUAUUUCUAUGACCUUUUUGGAAAUUACUUCCUUUUCUCUGCCUUUUAUUAUUCUGUUCGCCUGUUCGUUCGACCUUUAUUAAUUAGCAAACUCUAUUCUUUAAUUAUACUUCUAAACCGCAGUGCCAAUAGAACUAAUUAUUGUUAUAAUACUAAUUGUUAUAGCCACACUGACCUCUAACACUGUUGAUGUCUUUAUUUAGGACUUUUUGUGUAAAUUUAACUUAGAAACACCUCCUUAAAUGUUGAGCUCCUGUUAAAAUGACUUUUAUUAAUUAACUUCCUGCUCUGUCGUUUGCCGAAAAUAUAAUUAAGGUUGGUCACGUCUUAAAAGUAGUUCAAAAUUAUAAGGACACAAACAUUUGUGUGACCUCCUGUGAAAUAUAGAUUAGAAGCUGAUCAUAUUUUGAACACUGUGUGCAUUGAGAAUUUACCAUAUAUACUACAAUAUAUAUUUGUAGUUACCUAUAUGUGCAUUAUUUUCCUGUCUUGUGCUCAUGUUACGAAAAUUCUCAAAACUACUUCCUUAAGUUCCUUUUCUUUUACUUUGUACAUGACCUUCGUUCUUGUGAUCCUCUCAUACUCCCUUUUAAGCAUUUGUCUACUUUCUCUAAAGCUGUUAGCCUAUUUAUAUGCUCUUUAAUAAUUGAACUCCUGCCGUGCAAGAAUUUUUUUAACGUAAUUGUUUUGCGAAGCAUUUUAUAAAAAGUACGGAUCUUCUAGCCGAGCGCCGUUGAUUUAAUGUGACCUGACAAGUGUGUUGUAGUAUGCUUCUGAUUUCAUUUCGUUGCCUGAUUGUUAUAUGAAAUGCUUUUAACAAAUCAAAGCAUGUACUUGCAGGCAUAUGAAAGUGCCUUACUAUCUGAUCGGUGAUGAUGUGAUGUGACCUUAAGAUCAUAUGAUCUAUUUAUAUUGAGGUGAUUGAACUUUUUUAGCGCUCUUAGCUGCUCCACUUAUAAAAGCAGUGGAAAAACCGUCUUUUAGUCGAUUUUCAUGACCUUUGUGUGACCACAUUAGUGCGAUGUGAUAUGCCUAUGACGCGAUAACUAGCUGAAAUUCAUAUUCCUGGGCGCUGAAAACAUCAAAAAUAAUGUUUGCCUUUGGUCAAUGGUAAUUGUUUAGCGUGAUUUUGAUGAUGUGUUGUUCAUAUGAGAGUUUUUUUUUUGUAUAUAUUUAUAUAUAUAUUAUGUAUGUAUAUGUGAAUAUGUAUGUGUAUCGAUAUAUGUAUUUAUAUAUCUAUGUAUGUAUGUAUUCAAGUAAACAAGUUGAUUUCUUCACUCAAUAUGUUAGAAAUACGUGUAUGCUAUCUUGCAAGAAGAACCCAAAUUCUUUUAAUUAAUAUUUAUGGAGUUUGGAGCAUAACAAAGAGUUUGUUGUGAUUCCCUGACUUGCGGUCGAAAUUUUUGGGGGUGAAAUACCACAAACUAAUAGGCGAACAAAAAAUAACGACAAGUGUAAGAUGAAAGAAAAUAGGCCUAACGGAGAUAAAUGUAAAAAAUAUAAAAAGAAAAGAAUGAAGAUAACAACAACAAUAGCAAACAAAAGCAUAAUAUAAUACAAUAAAAUGUAGACAGAAAUAGUCGGAGAACACAACAAAAAAUUGUGAUGCCUGUUGUAUGCACAAGUGAAAAAUAUUGUAGGCACGUUGUUGUAUUCUUUAGCUGCCUUAAAUCAAAAAAAAAUUCAUAUAGACACGAACAUAGCAAAUCAAACUUCGAGCAGUUGUUGGGCUCAUUAUAAAUAGCUGACAUAAGCAAACAAACCGGCAUAACUGCUUAGAUAAAGCACGCACCGUAUUGUACGUGCUUAUCGAACAAAUGUUUGUUUGUUUUAAAAAAAAAAAAAUAAUUAUAAUAUUAACAAAUUAUGGAAAAAUACUAGAUUUCCAAAUUAUCUAAAAAUUAUGCCGUUUCGGCAACCUGCGACCCUGAUGAAGCAUUUAGACGGGUUUUGUGUGCCUGAUCUGCACUAACUUGACCAUUCUAUUCAGACUAUAUUAGAAAACACGCUGCUGCUUUUACUUGUUUCUAAUACUUUUUAUGAAAAGUUAUGCGAAGUUUGUCGUGAAAUGCGUCGUCAGUCGUCGUAUAUCAUAAACAAACGCUAAUUUUCCUUGGAAAUUCAUCAAAAAUUCAUAAUUGAGGACGAUCGUUUCAUAUAUACAACUAGGCGAGCAGCAUGCGAUCGUAGCGUAUGUAAAGAGAGAAAAAGAAAAAUUCAUCUAAUGCCUUCAGUGCAUGCUUACGACAUUAAUUUGUGCUAAUCGUAAUAUAAUGUAAAAGGGCUGCCUUUGCAUAGGCACCGCCAUAAGUGAGUGGGAGCGAGUGCAUGUGCCGCACGAUCAGCAGGCGUAAAAAUAUUUAUACAUACACACAUACUUGCAUAUUUACAGUUAACACGUGUUCGGCAGUGAUUUCCCAACACUGCAUUUUUCGAGCUACAAACAAAAUUUUACCUGAACGUAUGUAUUUAUAACUGUGCAUGUGUGUAGGCAUACUGCUGCUUUUUACUUCACCUUUUCUUUCUCACACAGCCCAAAGUGAAGUGUUUCUCUAUUUGAACUACCUUAUGACACUUGCCGUGGGGCCACUGAUAGCUAGCUAAAAUUCUGACCACCUAUUCGAAUGUUACACUUUGUUCCGCAUCAUUAACAUUAUGAAAAGUAAUCAUAUUUUUUAUGAGCUCUUUGUGUGUGUGUCGUCUUCUUGUCACUUGACAGACGAUCUUCGGUGGUGCUCUUGAAGAAAGCCGCAAGCUAAAAUAAAUUUUCUUAACGACUUUGCUCAGCAGCAGCUCGCGUCUUUUACAGCACUCGGCCGCCAGCAUGCCAUGCAAUAUGCCAGAGACAUUGUUAAAUAAUAUAUAUAUAUAUAUAUAAUCCGGCGCACGACCUCAACAUGCGCUGUAAAGAUGCUUUGCACCAACGUCAGGCGCCAGCAGACACCUAGUCAGCCGGCAAGCAACUCCAAUUGGUUUAACAAGGCACGUAACACAAAAGAUAGGUAUACCUACAUGCAUACAGUUAUAUUAACUGAUAAACUCUUUGUCUCUUCUUAAUAGCCGUGGUACAAGUACCUACCAUAAUGCUAUGCUUUUAUGCCUACCACAUGGUUUUUAUCUGUCCGUGCGUCUAGCCACCACAUCACAAUUUCUUUAACAAUGACAUUGUCUUCUCAGCGCUCUUUUUGUCAUUUUUCCACUGUCUUCGUUUACUCACUAUUUUGUAUGCUUGCCUAUUCGCUGUGAAGACGCCGAUUUCCUUAAAUAAACAUUCCAUUUCGAUUCAGUUUAUUUUUGACCUGUGACCUUCAAGCAGCCAAGUACGUGGUCUUAAAAUGUUAUGUGAAAAA
This is a long non-coding RNA of Bactrocera oleae (olive fruit fly), 4491 nucleotides long. RefSeq lists it as uncharacterized. Lineage: Eukaryota; Metazoa; Arthropoda; Insecta; Diptera; Tephritidae. The record is from RefSeq and is a predicted model, not a curated record.